This 26-nucleotide non-coding RNA is filed under the name Rattus norvegicus (Norway rat). The record is from RNAcentral. Lineage: Eukaryota; Metazoa; Chordata; Mammalia; Rodentia; Muridae.
UAUUACAUUUGUUUAUUUGGGGAAGG